GGUAAAUACAAGUAAAACUAAGAUGCGUAACUAUAUAAGAAGCAUAAAUAUAAACACAGAAACCUAUAGAUUGAGUAAACCAAUACUUCAUAUUAUAAAUGUAACAACAAACCUAACAUAUAAGAAAAUUUUCUUCAAAAAAUAUGCAAGAAAUAAUAAUUAACACUCACCUUUUGCAAUAACUAAUUGUUGAGAAUAGAAAAUUAUGAUGAUAUUACCUUAAAAAAGGAUAAGAGAGAGAUUUGUAGAAAGAGGAGGAAAUAUAGGUGAAAUUUUGAGAGAAAAUG
This 287-nucleotide unclassified non-coding RNA is filed under the name Hevea brasiliensis (rubber tree). Lineage: Eukaryota; Viridiplantae; Streptophyta; Magnoliopsida; Malpighiales; Euphorbiaceae. The record is from RNAcentral.